This is a non-coding RNA of Caenorhabditis elegans, 145 nucleotides long. The record is from Ensembl. Lineage: Eukaryota; Metazoa; Nematoda; Chromadorea; Rhabditida; Rhabditidae.
UGCCUAAAACCUCUGCGCUUCUUCUUCCAAUACACUAACUUCAACAUUCCGUUUAGGCGGUCAAAUAUGCAAAUGUGAUACUCUUCGCCUUUUGGAAACCCCUUUCGAAGCCAUUAAUCCUGCGCAUUGUGACACCAAACGUACG